Molecule: ribosomal RNA, 494 nt
Filed under: uncultured bacterium
Lineage: Bacteria
Description: partial 16S ribosomal RNA
Rfam family: Bacterial small subunit ribosomal RNA
Source: RNAcentral
GACGAACGCUGGCGGCGUGCUUAACACAUGCAAGUCGAACGGUGAAGCGCCUUCCUUUUUGGUGGGUGUGGAUGAGUGGCGAACGGGUGAGUAACACGUGAGUAACCUGCCCCCUUCUUCUGGAUAACCGCAUGAAAGUGUGGCUAAUACGGGAUAUUCUGGGUCUGUCGCAUGAUGGGUCUGGGAAAGAUAUUGGUUCGGUGGGGGAUGGGCUCGCGGCCUAUCAGCUUGUUGGUGGGGUGAUGGCCUACCAAGGCGGUGACGGGUAGCCGGCCUGAGAGGGUGGACGGUCUCACUGGGACUGAGGCCCGGCCCGGACUCCUACGGGAGGCAGCAGUGGGCAGUAUUGCACAAUGGGGGCAAGCCUGAUGCAGCGACGCCGCGUGAGGGAUGGAGGCCUUCGGGUUGUGAACCUCUUUCGCCAGUGAAGCAGGCCUGCCUCGUUUGUGGGUGGGUUGACGGUAGCUGGAUAAGAAGCGCCGGCUAACUACGUG